ACACAGCUGAUGUGAGAUGGAGACACGGUGCCAAAUGGCCCUGGAGGCUGCAGGUUGUGGGUGUGAUACAGAGCCGUGGGAGGAGAACCGGGCCAGUAGGAGAAACCAGACGGACCCACACCUGGACCCACGAGGUUCAGCUUAGAAAUCCCUGCGAAAGGAAUCGACUCCAGUGGACUGUGUGGAGCUGGAUGGGCUUUAUUGACCUGCUAUAGUCUGGUUUGGACUGUAUGAGACAAGCUGAACAUAUAUAGCUGUCACCAAGUGUUACCAUUAUUAUAUAUAUUGUUAUUAUUAUCAU
Molecule: long non-coding RNA, 301 nt
Organism: Sebastes umbrosus (honeycomb rockfish)
Lineage: Eukaryota; Metazoa; Chordata; Actinopteri; Perciformes; Sebastidae
Exons: 2
Source: RefSeq, a predicted model, not a curated record